This is a non-coding RNA of Pelobates cultripes (western spadefoot toad), 408 nucleotides long. The record is from the annotation of a GenBank genome assembly. NCBI's taxonomy places the organism in Eukaryota, Metazoa, Chordata, Amphibia, Anura, Pelobatidae.
UCUGUAUCCAUGUAUGUUUUUACCAGUAGCUGCUGCAUUUCCCACCCUAGGCUUAUACUCGAGUCAAUACGGUUUCCCAUUUUUUGGGGGGUAAAAUUAGGUGCCUCGGCUUAUAUUCGGGUUGGCUUAUACUCGAGUAUAUACGGUACAUAGCUUUUUGAUUAUAUUUAAACCAAAUGAUGAGGUAUUAUAAUAACGGUAGUGGCUGUACACAUAAUGUAAUAUCAUUAUCACAACUGAAGUAACAUAAUAUGGGAGACUUUAUAGGAAUUGACAUUACUACAGUAUAAAACGUGGAGACGAUUCCUACCAUGCACAAAAUAGCCACCAUUCGCAUGAUGUGAUGUGUAAUAAUAAAUGAGGCAAUUGUGACUCUAGUUUACAGACUGGCACACCAUAUAUAUACAU